UCUCUCUCUCUCCUGUUAACUCUAAUUAUUUCAGCAAUUCCUCAAACCAAUUUCCCGCAAUUUCUCAAACCAAUUUCAUCAACACUCUCUCCUCUAAUCCUCUCUCUCUCUCACGGCGGGAAGGAGACGACGGGAACGAGAAAAGAAAAUUCCGAUUGCAAUCUGUAACUCUCUCUCUCGCGGCGGCUCCGACUCCAUUGGCACAAUUUCUUUCUGACGUCAUUAACAGGAUGGUGACUAGAGGACGAGCUGGCAAACGUGGCCGAGGGCGGGGUCGGGGGUAGAGUAGAAGUUUGCACCUUAGAGAUGAGAAUGAGGAAUUAGUGGGAGAUCACUUACCACAACCUCAAGAUAAUCCAAGUUCUAAUCCAAGUGAAGAGAUGCGUGGACAAAGUAUCUCAUCUCGUAUUCUUCCAAAAGGUUGGUGAAAUAAUACCUUCAAGAUUUGAAAAUGAACAAAAUACAGGAUAAAGUGAAGAUAUUAUAUCACAUGGACGUCGACGGGAACCCAAUAAUGGAGCUCAGAUCCCAGAUCACCCAACUAAAAGGAUAAAAGUGAGAGUGGUCAACAAUUGGUAAUUUCAAAGCUUAUAAAAAUUGAGUUUAAUAUAUUCAUAAAUAAUGUUAACUCUAUUUCUUAAUUUUAUAUAUUUUUUAAAUUUAUUAUGUCAAAAUAGAUUUAUUAAAAGUGGUAUUACACGAAAUCCCACAAAUGAUAUUAAAAGCAUUUUCACUGAAGCAUGGCAAGAUAGCACGCAGUGUCAAAAGCAUCUAAAGAUUUGCUAGGGGUCUCUUCAAGGUAAUAAAUACUAUUUAUAUUUAAUCCAAUUUAUUCAUUGUUAAAUUACAUAGACAUAUUUUUGUAAUAAUUUAAUGUGAUUUAUUGUUUUGAUAUGUGAUAGUUGAGGUACUGGUGGGAUAAUCUAACUGACGGGAAAAUGAGGAAUGUGUGGAAUAAAAAUGCAAGUGAUCGAUUUAAAGAGAUCAUAUACGAAGCUAAGCAAAAAGCACCGAAUGAUGCUCACAAACAGUUAGGUAGAGAACCAAAGAUGAGUGAUAUGAUAGAUAGAGGUCCUUAUUGGUUUAGUAAUUAAUUAUGGAAUGAGCUAGUUCAGAAUUGGACCUCAAAAGAUUAUGUAGGAAAAAGUUGAACUGUCCGAAAAAAUCAUUUGGCUGAAAAAGCUAGUUCGGUAACAAAACAUACUGGUGGUUCUAUUCCUGUAGGGGCACAUAGGCAAAAAAUGGUAAGUUUUUAGAUAUCUUUUAUACAAUUUUUUGACAUGUGAAAUAAUAUUGUUCUGUAAACUAUAGGCAAAAGAACUUGGUAGAGAAGUGAUUGAUCUUAGGUAUUUCAAAUAUGUCAUAGAAAAAACAAAGAAUUGGGGAGUUUAUCGACAAUAAAUCCAAAAGAAUUAGUGUAAGUAUAAUUUGUCAUUGGUAUUUAAAUAUUGGUUAGUAUAUAUGUUGAUAAAUUUUGUUAGACUUUUAUUACAUAAAUGUUCCAUUGUAUCUAAUGUACUUGCACAGGAAAAAUACCUUGCAAAAAUUGGUUGUACUGAUGUUUCUUCCCAGUCUUCAUUUGAUAUCUCAACUUGGUAUGAUAUCACUAGAGGUCCUUCUAAAGGAUACUUAUAUAGAUUUGGAAGUAGCUCCUCAUCUACAAGUGCAAGUUCAGUCAAUGUUACUCUUAAAGCAUCUGAGGAGAAGAAGAAUUUUAUAUGGAUUUUUGGAUAUGCGCUCUAAUACUACAAAGUUGGGGAAGAAGAAUUUUCAAGAUAAGAAGAAGAAAAUAGAAAAUUGCUUGAAAUUAUUCUUGAAGAAGCUCGAGAGAUGGAGGAAGAGGCUCGAAAGAGGGAGGCAAACCUACAAGAAUUAGUUCGAAAACUACUUCAUGAUGUGGGAUACACAAACCAUCAAUUUGCUGGUGGGUCUGGACAUCAGGAGCAACAACAUUUUAGGAAAGAUCAUUAAUUUAUUUUUUCUGUUGGUUGUUUAUGACUUAGUUUAUGUUGAGUUUUUGUAUUUUGACUUACGUUUGUUGAUAUGGGAGUGUAAACAUUGAUAUUAUUUGGUAGU
Molecule: non-coding RNA, 2076 nt
Organism: Sesamum indicum (sesame)
Lineage: Eukaryota; Viridiplantae; Streptophyta; Magnoliopsida; Lamiales; Pedaliaceae
Source: RefSeq, a predicted model, not a curated record